This 498-nucleotide ribosomal RNA is filed under the name uncultured Glomeromycotina. RNAcentral's name for it is "partial small subunit ribosomal RNA". It matches the Rfam family "Eukaryotic small subunit ribosomal RNA", at positions 591 to 1092 of the family's 1831-position model. The record is from RNAcentral. Lineage: Eukaryota; Fungi; Glomeromycota.
CCAAUAGCGUAUAUUAAAGUUGUUGCAGUUAAAAAGCUCGUAGUUGAAUUUCGGGAUCAAUAUGUUGGUCGUGCCUCGGUACGUACUAGCUUAUUGGUUUCUCCUUUCUGAAGAACCAUGAUGUCAUUUAUUUGGUGUCGUGGGGAAUCAGGACUGUUACUUUGAAAAAAUUAGAGUGUUUAUAGCAGGCUCACGCUUGAAUACAUUAGCAUGGAAUAAUGAAAUAGGACGUUUGAUUCUAUUUUGUUGGUUUCUAGGAUCGACGUAAUGAUUAAUAGGGAUAGUUGGCGGCAUUAGUAUUCAAUUGUCAGAGGUGAGAUUCUUGGAUUUAUUGAAGACUAACUACUGCGAAAGCAUUUGCCAAGGAUGUUUUCAUUAAUCAAGAACGAAAGUUAGGGGAUCGAAGACGAUCAGAUACCGUCGUAGUCUUAACCAUAAACUAUGCCGACUAGGGAUCGGAUGAUGCUAAUUUUUUAAUGACUCAUUCGGCGCCUUACA